CCACUUCUCCGUGGCUUCUGGUGCCUGCUGGUGGCGCCCAAAAGUGGGGACUGGACAUGGAGAGAUCAUCUGAAGACACUGUCUUGGUGGAGCUCCACAGAAAAUGGAAGAAGAUGGUAUCCUGCAUGCACCAGUCUGCCACUCAGGUGUAGCCCGUCCAUGUGAGCUGCUGGACGGCUCACAACAAUUUGGCGCCUGGACUGGGACCUGAAGAAGUUCAGUAAGACGCUGAAGGAACACUGUUUUGUGUGGAGCUCCACGGGAAGAAAAAAAAAGGAUCAUAUUGGACACCUAAGCAACAGGUCAGCCACACCAUCCAGCCUGACUGCAGCAGGUGUACAGUCUCGCCUCCAACAGUGCAGGUGGCAGUUAUUAAUCUUCAUCAAGAAGCAUUCUAAGUACAUAUUGUGGCUUUGGUCUGAAUUGGGAAUAAGGUGUGCUAAUGAGGGCAGGACAGUCAAUGAUGGGCACCCAGAUCUCGGAACCAUAACAAUCUAAGACAGAGGUACAUGCCAAAAGGCCAUGGCUGUUGAUAACACACCACAGAGCCAUGUUUGUGUGAAAUAUAACACAAACUAGCUGCAUGUAGCCUCCAAGAUGGAAUUGGAUGGUUCGGAAAGAUCUAAGAUCUCCUAAGACAGCUGCGGCUGCCAGCCACCAUAAUUCUCAGGCAGGACUAUGGAGCAUAAAUAAAUUUUGUGCCUCAUUCCA
Long non-coding RNA from Mus musculus (house mouse), 711 nucleotides. RefSeq annotates it as predicted gene, 39498. The record is from RefSeq and is a predicted model, not a curated record. The transcript has 3 exons. NCBI's taxonomy places the organism in Eukaryota, Metazoa, Chordata, Mammalia, Rodentia, Muridae.